GUUGAAGAACGUAGCGAAAUGCGAUACGUAAUGUGAAUUGCAGAAUUCAGUGAAUCAUCGAAUCUUUGAACGCAUAUUGCGCUCUCUGGUAUUCCGGAGAGCAUGCUUGUUUGAGUAUCAGUAAACACCUCAACUUCCAUAUCUUUUUUGAAAUGGGAGUUGGACUUGAGUGAUCCCAACGCUUUUCCUCACCGAAAAGUGGCGGGUUACUUGAAAUGCAGGUGCAGCUGGACUUUUCUCUGAGCUAUAAGCAUAUCUAUUUAGUCUGCCUAAAAAACAGAUUAUUACCUUUGCUGCAGCUAACAUAAAGGAGAUUAGUUCUUGUGCUGACUGAUGCAGGAUUCACAAAGACAGGCUUCGGCCGACUUUGUAAACUCGAUCUCAAAUCAAGUAAGACUACCCGCUGAACUUAAGCAUAUCAAUAAGCGAGGA
RNAcentral lists this unclassified non-coding RNA (432 nucleotides) under soil metagenome. Its description in RNAcentral is "partial contains 5.8S ribosomal RNA, internal transcribed spacer 2, and large subunit ribosomal RNA". The stretch from base 1 to 120 matches the Rfam family "5.8S ribosomal RNA", at positions 35 to 154 of the family's 154-position model. The record is from RNAcentral.